AGCAGUAAAGCACCCCAGCCUGUUAUAAGGGGGCUACAACCUGAGUUGAGGUUAGGUGGAAGUCUGGGUUCUGUGACGUCCUUGUGAUGGCUGUGACCAGGGGCCAGGGCUGAAUAAGCAGAAAACAGAAAUCUGGUCCUUUUUUUUUUUUCCUCUCACGUGAAUAGUCAAGUCUUGAGGUGGGGGUGGGGGGCAGGGUGAGGAGCGAAGCCUGAGAAGUCUACACACAGUUUGAAUCGUUACACUGGAAAUCUGAGAAGAUGAAAGUGAGACAAAGAUAACCCAGAUCUGACUGGAGUAAGUUCAGGAGAGAAUGGCAAAUCCGAAAAUAGAGGUGGAAAUAAAAGAAACCCUCUCUGCCCUUUGCAGUAAGGCAAACAGCAGCUGAAGAGACAUGGAGUCAAGAAGCUCUUGCUUUGUUGCACAAUGGGAAUGAGGAAGAUGCAGUAGAGAGAAAGAUUGAUGCAGGAUUCAAUUAGUGAGCCUGAGACACACAGCUACAGCUUCACAGGAACACUGUUGUUGUAAAGGUCUUAUGCAUUGCAGAGAAGUUGAAGCCAUUCAAUAAUUAGUGUCCCUAUUCCGAGAAGUGAAAUUUGGUGGCGUGAGUAGGAAAAAACAACACGGAAAUAAGAAAGACCCACGAUGGCCAUUUAGAGCACAAUGAGACCUUGUUUACUCGACGACGUGGACUCCAGCGUUCCCUUGAAAAAACGCAAGUGAUUAAGAAAAUACUUUGAGAACCUAAUAAUAGUGCCCUGAAAUCUGAGAGCCACUUCUCAUCUUUCUGAGGCUCAGGAACAUGCUUAAUAAGGAUGUAUGUUUUUAAUACACUGAUUCUUAGCAACGAUGUAGGGUUUUCAUUAUUUUUA
This is a long non-coding RNA of Peromyscus leucopus (white-footed mouse), 872 nucleotides long. RefSeq lists it as uncharacterized. The transcript has 4 exons. Lineage: Eukaryota; Metazoa; Chordata; Mammalia; Rodentia; Cricetidae. The record is from RefSeq and is a predicted model, not a curated record.